AUCAUUACCGAGUGCGGGCUGCCUCCGGGCGCCCAACCUCCCACCCGUGACCACCUAACACUGUUGCUUCGGCGGGGAGCCCUCUCGGGGGCGAGCCGCCGGGGACUACUGAACUUCAUGCCUGGGAGUGAUGCAGUCUGAGUCUGAAUAUAAAAUCAGUCAAAACUUUCAACAAUGGAUCUCUUGGUUCCGGCAUCGAUGAAGAACGCAGCGAACUGCGAUAAGUAAUGUGAAUUGCAGAAUUCAGUGAAUCAUCGAGUCUUUGAACGCACAUUGCGCCCCCUGGCAUUCCGGGGGGCAUGCCUGUCCGAGCGUCAUUGCUGCCCAUCAAGCCCGGCUUGUGUGUUGGGUCGUCGUCCCCCCCGGGGGACGGGCCCGAAAGGCAGCGGCGGCACCGUGUCCGGUCCUCGAGCGUAUGGGGCUUUGUCACCCGCUCGAUUAGGGCCGGCCGGGCGCCAGCCGACGUCUCCAACCAUUUUCUUCUGGUUGACCUCGGAUCAGGUAGGGAUACCCGCUGAACUUAAGCAUAUCAAUAAGCGGAGGA
This 544-nucleotide ribosomal RNA is filed under the name uncultured Aspergillus. RNAcentral describes it as "eukaryotic LSU rRNA". The stretch from base 164 to 317 matches the Rfam family "5.8S ribosomal RNA". Lineage: Eukaryota; Fungi; Ascomycota; Eurotiomycetes; Eurotiales; Aspergillaceae. The record is from RNAcentral.